Molecule: long non-coding RNA, 10800 nt
Filed under: Vitis vinifera (wine grape)
Lineage: Eukaryota; Viridiplantae; Streptophyta; Magnoliopsida; Vitales; Vitaceae
Description: long non-coding RNA (VVIN_LNC003925)
Source: RNAcentral
UGCAAAUGAAGUCCAAUUAGAUGAGUCUGACUUUAAAAGCCUAGCCGUGCCGAAGUCAGAUACAUGAGCUUCAUAUUCUGAAUCUAACAAAACAUUGUUGCUCGAUAUGUCUCGAUGAAUUACAGGAGGUGAGCAAUCAUGGUGCAUAUACGAUAAAGCUUUAGCCACGCCUUUAAUAACGUUUAGCCUCACAAUCCAAUCUAAUCUUUCUGCUUCUUCGUCAUUGCAUAGAAUGUUUUGCAAACUCCCCUUUUCCAUAAACUCAUAAACCAAAAAUGAGUUCUCUGCAAAUGAACUGAAGCCAUAAAGCUUGACGAUGUUGCGGUGCCUUAUCUGUGUUAAAGCAUGAAUCUCGCUUUUGAAAGCUUUCAAAUCAGCCAUAUCUCCAUCUUCUGAUGAGUGAAGCUUUUUCACAGCAACAACCCGACCUGUUGGCAACUCAGCCUUGUAAACAGUACCAUAUCCUCCAGUGCCAAUACACUGUUUCGAACUGAAAUUGUCGGUCCCCUGUAUGAUGUGCUCAUACAACAAUUCCCCAUCAUGGCCCCAUAUUGCAAAUAGAUCUUCGACAUCUGCUUCUGGAGACUUGUUUUUUCUCUUCCUCAAUUUUUGGAAAAGAAAAAAAAUGCCAAUAACAAAAGCAAGUAAGAACAAUAGACUGCUCACAAGUAGGAGUAUUACUAUCAAAACAGAAAACUUGUUGGCCUUCUUUCGACUAGCACUGCAUGGCUUGAGAUGAGUGACAUUAUUACCACACAGACCUUUAUUAUUUUUGAAUGCCUCAAAUGGAGCGAAGGCUUUGAUGUUGGGGAGAGGACCUUCCAACUGAUUGUAGGAUAUAUCAACAACUGUCAGGCUUAUCAGAUCAUCAAACGUGUGUGGGAUGGUGCCAGAGAGCCCGUUAUGGGAGAGAUUCAACGUUUCCAGGUACUGUAAUUCUCCAAGUAGCGGUGGUAUCUCUCCUAUUAGCAUAUUUUGACUAAGAUCGAGACUUUCAAGAUGAUGCAACUUUCCAAUUUCAUCGGGAAUGCUAUCCACAAAUCUAUUCUCGCUCAAGUUGAAGGACCUUAAUUUCCAGAAGUUUCCCAGUUGUUUGGGAAUUGAACCGCUUAUGUUGUUUGAUGCCAAGUCAAGAAUUUCAAGAUUGGAUAAGUUUCCCAAUUCCAAAGGAAUACUACCUGAAAGACUGUUGUUUCCUAAUAACAAUUUGAACAAUAAUGGCAACAUACCCAACUCUUUCAGGAUCUUCCCACUUAGAUGAUUGGCGGAGAGAUCAAGCUGUCGCAGCUGAGUUGCUUUCCCAAGUUGAGGCGGUAUAGCACCAGAAAUAUUGUUGUUGGAGAUGUUCAGGUUUGUGAGCAUGUGGCACUGCCCCCAUUUCUCAGAAAGCUCACCAUAAAAAUUGUUGCUGCUUAGAUCAAUAUAAUUUAGAGUUGGGUACACACCAAAACUUUCGGCUAUGUCCCCUGUCAAUUGAUUUCUUUCAAGCCUAACUCUGAAUAAGCUAGUGCAAUUUUUCAAGCCUUUUGGAAUAGGACCAGUGAAAUGAUUUCCAGAGGCUGUAAAGUUUUCAAGAACACUACCAAGGCAUAUCUCUUGUGGUAGUUGGCCAAUGAAGUUAUUCUCAACUAACUGUAAAGAUUUCAAAUGAGUGAUAUUAUUCAUUUCAAGAGGAAUCGCACCACUAAGCUUGUUGUGAUCAAGGAACAAAAAGGUUAAGCUGGACAAGUUUCCUAUGGAUGGAGGGAUUGGACCACUGAGACUAUUAGCUGCCAAGUCAAGAUCAUAAAGUGAUGUCAACAAUCCAAUUUCUUGAGGGAUGGAACCAGAAAGCUUGUUCUCAAAAAGAUAUAAAGUGGUUAAAUUUCUCAAGUUUCCAAUGGAUGGAGGGAUCGAACCAGUGAGACUAUUAGUUUCCAACUCAAGAUCUAUAAGUGAUGUCAACAAUCCAAUUUCUUGAGGAAUAGAACCAGAUAGUUUGUUUGUAUGAAGGUACAAAGUCGUUAAGUUCCUCAAGUUACCUAUCGAAGGAGGGAUUGGACCGAUGAGAUUGUUAAAUGACAAUUGAAGAUCAUUAAGAGAUCUUAACAAUCCAAUUUCUUGAGGGAUGAAACCAGAAAGCUCGUUCUCAAAAAGAUAUAAAGUGGUUAAAUUUCUCAAGUUUCCAAUGGAUGGAGGGAUCGGACCAGUGAGACUAUUAGUUGCCAACUCAAGAUCAUUAAGUGAUGUCAACAAUCCAAUUUCUUGAGGAAUAGAAUCGGAUAGUUUGUUUGUAUGAAGGUAUAAAGUGGUUAAGUUCCUCAAGUUACCUAUGGAAGGAGGGAUUGGACCAGUGAGAUUGUUAGUUGACAAUUGAAGAUCAUUAAGAGAUUUUAACAAUCCAAUUUCUUGGGGGAUGGAACCAGAAAGCUUAUUCUUGAAAAGAUGCAAAGUGGUUAAGUUCCUUAGGUUUCCUAUGGAAGGAGGGAUUGGACCAGUGAGAUUGUUAGUUGACAAUUCAAGAUCAUUAAGAGAUCUUAACAAUCCAAUUUCUUGAGGGAUGAAACCAGAAAGCUCGUUCUCAAAAAGAUAUAGAGUGGUUAAGUUUCUCAAGUUUCCUAUGGAUGGAGGGAUUGAACCAGUGAGACUAUUAGUUGCCAACUCAAGAUCAUUAAGUGAUGUCAACAAUCCAAUUUCUUGAGGAAUAGAACCAGAUAGUUUGUUAGUAUGAAGGUAUAAAGUGGUUAAGUUCCUCAAGUUACCUAUGGAAUGAGGGAUUGGACCAAUGAGAUUGUUAGUUGACAAUUGAAGAUCAUUAAGAGAUCUUAACAAUCCAAUUUCUUGGGGAAUGAAACCAGAAAGCUUGUUCUUGAAAAGAUGCAAAGUGGUUAAGUUCCUCAAGUUUCCUAUGGAAUGAGGGAUUGGACCUGUGAGAUUGUUAGUUGACAAUUGAAGAUCAUUAAGAGAUCUUAACAAUCCAAUUUCUUGAGGAAUGGAACCAGAAAGCUUGUUCUCAAAAAGAUACAAAGUGGUUAAGUUCCUCAGGUUUCCUAUGGAAGGAGGAAUUGGACCAAUGAGAUUGCUAGUUGACAAUUGAAGAUCAUUAAGAGAUCUUAACAAUCCAAUUUCUUGAGGAAUGGAACCAGAAAGCUUGUUCUCAAAAAAAUGCAAAGUGGUUAAGUUCCUCAAGUUUCCUAUGGAAUGAGGGAUUGGACCAAUAAGAUUGUUAGUUGACAAUUGAAGAUCAUUAAGAGAUCUUAACAAUCCAAUUUCUUGAGGGAUGGAACCAGAAAGCUCAUUCUCAAAAACAUACAAAGUAGUUAAGUUUCUUAAAUUACCUAUGGAAGGAGGAAUUGGGCCUCUAAAAUUAUUAGAAGACAAUGCUAGAACACUAAGAGAUGUUAGAAAUCCAAGUUGGGGAGAUAUUACACCAGUGAAAUGAUUGAAAGCAAAGUUAAGAUUUGUGAUUCGUUUGGAAAGAUUACCAAUGUUGAUUGGAAUGGUUCCAUAAAGGGAGUUGUUAUAAAGAUUAAGAGUGAGAAGGUUAGGGAGUGAUGAGAAAUUGAGAUUGUGGAGUGUACCUCUCAAACCGCAAUUGUCAAGUUCUAAAUUGGAGACACUUCCUGACUUGUGACAAGUUAAUCCAAACCAAUGAUAGCAAGAAUUGCGUCCAGACCAAGAAGAGAGGAAAGAUUGGGUUUGAUUAUCAAGACUGGCUUUCCAUGUUAGAAGAGCGAGUCUUUCUUGAUCUUUUUCAACUUUUGAAAGAGAAGUGGUAGGUGUAGAGGCAGAUAUAGAAGUGACAUGGAAUGAUGAUAUUGAGUAUAGAAGGACAAGGAGAAAUAUGAAGUAGUAAGGAGUGAUAAAGAGUCGAGAGAGUAAGGAGUAGGAUGAAGAAUAUUCAAAGGCCAUUGUUGAAUUGGUAGAAAUGAAGUUAUUAAGAGGUUUACAUGGAGGGAAGGAUGAAGAUGAAACACUUAUUUAUAGACUUAAAUGUGAUACAUCCAACAUUUCCAUUAGUUGGUGUUGACAUCUAACCACCUCUUUCAUCUACAAAUAAUGGAAUUAAAAAGGAUUAUAUACAUGAGCUCAAUUCCACACAUAUUUUAUUUCAUUUUAUCGAAAUGCUCUGAAUUUUUCAAUUAAAAUUUACACCUACAAUUACAUAUGAAAUAAUUAAAAAUAUUUCUUUUCCACUCUAUGCACUUUUAAAUAUAACUUGUUUAAAAUUAAUAAUUACAAUUCAUUUUAAGAAGUAAGGACCAAAUAUGCCCACGUCAACAACCUAGUUGAUACAGGAAGUUCACUUUAACCAACAUUACUCCUUGUUUGGAUUGAAUUCUUUUAACUAUUUUGCCCUGAGAGAAAUAAACUUUUUUAACUCUAUUAGUUCUUUCAUAAUUUUUAUCCUUACAAUAUGAACUAUCUUAUUUCUCUUAAUAUUUUAUAAAUCAUUUAUGUUAUAUUUCAAAACCAAAUUAGUUGUCAUUUCUUGUACUUCUUUCCUAGACAAAUGCAUAAUUUGUGGUUGAUGUUUAUCAUUUUUAUUAAAGGUGUUCACAAUUUGUAAGUGAGACCCAUCAUCUAUGAAAAAUAUAGACAUGCUUUUUUUUCAUUUGGAAGUCUUAAGGAACUAGUAUUUGAACCACAACAAGGACUAAGGACUAACAAAUUUUCACUUUGUUUUUCAUCCAAAUAAGACACACAAUUGUUUUUGUAUUAUCUAUUCUAAGCCAAGGGGCUUUCAAGGCUUUAAAAUGCAUCUCUAAAGUUAAGAGGAGCCCAACAUAUAUAUCAUCAUGAGCUUUUUUCCCUAUUCAACGUGAGAUGUCACAAAAAUUGUUCAACAAGAUUAAUGCAUUUGUGAAGCUCAGAAGAAUCACAAAAAUCAAAGGAAAAUAUUUUGGGAAUUACAACAUAAAACAUGCAGGACCCAUGUACACAUGCAUUUUCCUUAUCAAACAGUUGUCUUGAAAAGCCAUUCUAAAGCCCACUUGGCUUCCCAUCACUAGUAAUGGACCAACAUCAUUCAAAUUCUCAAUGCUCUUGAAAGGCCAUAUGCACUUGAAGUAAAAAGAGAUUGAAUUUUUGUUAGAUAGUUUGUUUUUGCUAUUUGGGAACAUAUUUUUCUUUUCUUUUUUUUGUUCUUUUUUCUUUUUAAUAGAACGUUUACAUGGUAGCCUGCUCCAAUCCCCUUACGAAACUUUUGUUAUUAGGUUAGCCAUACACUUCACAUGUUUGUUUCUAGCGAUUCACAUGGUAUAAUCAAAUGAUACAAGUCUUGGAUAAGAAUCUACAAUGCACUAGAACACCCUUGUUGAUGAUCCUUUACUCCGAUAGUGUCUAGAGUUCCUCGAACAAUAUGAUAUCUCACAUUGGGUAAAUCCUUAACCCUUCCCCCUCUUACUAAGACUACAAAAUGUUCUUGUGAAUUAUGGCCAAUACCAGGUAUAUAAGUAGUGAUUUCAAAUCCAGAGGUUAAUCGUACUCUGGCAACUUUACGUAAGGCAGAGUUUGAUUUUUUUGGGGGUGAUAGUAGAAAAGUUGACAGAUAAGUCACCCUUACUAGAGUGUAAAAUCCUUUAUUUUUUGUUCAAAUUUUAGCUUUGCAAUUAGAGUCAAUACAUCUCGUAUUCAAUUCAAUCCUCAUAUUUUCUGGACUCCUAAAUUCUAAACCCUAUCUGGGUUUUCCAGUUUUGUGAAAAAUCACAUCAUAUGGACCUGACAGGAUGGGAUUUGAUUCAAUGUUAGAGACAAAAUUUUGGAAAAAUCUGCAAAACCCUCAACAGUUGUGGCCAUACCAUAGCUCAAGACCAAGAUGAGAAUUUACAAUCUAAUAAUGCUGAUGAAUGCUUCAUAGACUGCUCUACAAAACUAGAGUUUGUCAGAAGGCCUGUCCUUUGUUGAAAGACGUGAAGGUCGCAGGAAGAACCUAGGCCGAAAGUAAUCAGCAAAGGAUAAGAACACCAGGAUUAUUUCACAUUGAAACACUUUACUCCAACUACUCUGGUUAAACGAAUUCAUCCUAGAGUAAGCAUGUGAAGAUAGCAACCUUGUUAUAGACUUAAAUGUGAUACAUCCAACAUUCCCAUUAGUCGGUGUUGACAUCCAACUACAUCUUUGUCUACAACUAAUGGAAUUGAAAAAUUAUAUAGCUCAAUCCUGCACUUAUUUUAUUUUAUUUUAUCAAAGUGCUCUUGGAAUUGAAAAGGAUUAUAUAGCUCUUAAGUUUUAUUAACAUGAGUGCAAAUUAAUUUUAAUUUUGAAAAAGUUUUACUAAUUGGUGGAAAAUUCUUCCUCGAAUUAUAUGUGGAUAUGAAUUACUUGGAUAAAAUUUGGAGCUUUGUUGAUAUCAUGUUAGUGACUUAUUUUGUUGAGAUAUAUAGUUAUAAGACAAAUCUCAGCCAACUUUCUUUUUUUCUUAGAAAGACAAAGCUCAUUGCAAUGAAUAAUGGGAUCCAGAGAUGUAUAAAAGUGUGCAUUUUUACUUAAAAAAAAUGUGUUCCAUGACUAGCAUGUAUUUCAAAUUUAAGCUCAAACAAAAAGACCACUCAAUCCACUAAGAGCUCUUUAGAGAUGAAAACAACAUAAUAAUUGAAAACAAAAAUAAACUCAUUGAUAUGAAAAUAAAAAAUAUAUUUAUUUUGUUAUAAAAACUAUGAUAUCACAGAUUAAUUUGAAUGUGAAGUGAACUGGACUAUUGACUCUUUAAUUAAUAAAUCAAUUAAUUUUUAUAGUACUUUUUUUAUUAAAACAAUUCCUUAAUUGUGAAGUAAAUUUUACUUAUCUAUUCAUAUGUAUUUGAUAAAAUUAACCUUAAUGGGAUAGAAACAUCAUGCAAUUCAUUUUGUUUUUAUCAACAAUUCUUAUAAAGAGAUCACUUAAGGGAGAGAACUCACAUCAUCAAUGCUGAGUAGUUAUCACAAAGUGAUUAAAAUUUUUUUCCUAAAAAAAAAAUAUAUUUUUAUGAAAAUUGCUUUUAUUUAAAAUCAAUCAUAAUAUAAAUCAUGUUUUUAUUUUUUUUAUUAAGUUAAUAAGAUUUAAAAUUAAAAUAAAUUUUACAAAAUCAGUAAAUGUUUAUAUAUAUAAAAAAAUCAAAUGGCUCCACUCAUCCAUUAUUCAUGAUUGAUUGAACAAUGUAAAGAUGACAGUAUCUUCUAUGUAUAAUUUAAACACUCUCACCCUAGACUUUUAUACAUGAAUAGCUAUUAGAAAAUACAAAAUUUAAUGCAAAAAUUGGACUGAGGGAGUAACAUAACCUCAUCAAUGCUUGUAGUUGAUACAUAAAUAGAUUGAAGAGGAUACAACUACCAUCACAAAUAAUAAAUGAAAAAUAAUUAAUAUAACCAUAAUUUAGUUUUUCUUUUGUUUAAAUAAUCAACUAUUCUAGUUGGGGAAUGGAUCAUAUAUGGGGUCCAUGAAUUAAAUUAUUGUACAAAAUGUCUUACAAGAAAAAUGUUACUUAGCUUACGAUUUAUACAUUUGCUUUCAAUUAACUAAUGGUUCUAAUAUAUAAGUGUUCAUUUGGAUAAAGUUCUUAUUUUCCAGUUUUAAAAAUAAAAAAUAGUAAUAACUUCUAUUGAAAAUAUAAAAAAUCAUCUAACUCUUAAGACACAACUACCAUCACAAAUAAUAGACAAAAAUAAUUAAUAUAACCAUUGUGAGGUUGUUCUUUUGUUCAAAUAAUCAACUAUUUUAGUUGGGGAAUGGACCACACAUAUGGGGUCCAUGAAUUAAAUUAUUGUACAAAAUGUCUCCAAGAAAAAUGUUAUUUAGAUUAUUAUUUAAACAUUUGCUUUCAAUUAAUUAAUUGUAUUAAUAAUUGAGUGUCCAUUUGGAUGGAGUUCUUAUUUUCUAGUUUUAAAAAUAAAAAAUAGUAAUAACUUCUAUACAAAACAUAAAAAGUCUUCGAGUCUUAACACACAACUACCAUCACAAAUAAUAGACGAAAAACAAUUAAUAUAGUCAUUAUGAGGUUGUUCAUUUGUUCAAGCAAUCCACUAUUCUAGUUGGGGAAUGGACCACAUAUGUGGUCCAUGAAUUAAAUUAUUGUACAAAAUGUCUCACAAGAGAAAGGUUAUUUAGCUCACUAUUUAUAUAUUUGCUUUCAAUUAAUUAAUUUUUACUAAUAAUUAAGUGUCCAUUUGGAUGGAGUUUUUAUUUUUCUAGUUUUAAAAAUAAAAAACAGUUACAACUGCUAUAUAAAAGACAAAAAGUCUUCUAGUUUUAAGACACAACUACCAUCACAAAUAAUAGAUGAAAAACAAUCAAUAUAACCAUAAUGAGGUUGUUCUUUUGUUCAAAUAAUCAACUAUUCUAGUUGGGGAAUGGACCAUACAUGGGGUCCAUGAAUUAAAUUACUGUAUAAAACAUCUCACAAUAAAAAUGUCAUUUAGCUUACUAUUUAUACAUUUCCUUUCAAUUAAUUAAUUAUACUAAUAAUUAAGUGUCCUUUUGGAUGGAGUUAUUUUCUAGUUUUAAAAAUAAAAAUAGCAAUAACUUCUACAUGAAAUAUGAAAAGUCUUUGAGUCUUAUAUCCAAAAUGUAGUGCCUUUUAAACUUGAUUUGAAAAAAAAAAUAUUAAAAAAAAUUACUAUUUGGAAUUUUAAAUUUUUUGAAAAAUAUUUUUCAAAAUGUAAGGUAAGUCUAUAUUUUUUGUAUAUGAAUAUAUGUUUUUUAGAUAAAGUUUUCUUUUGUAAAAGAUAAAAAAUAGAAAAUAUAUCUAAAUGGAACAUAAAUGCUUACAUAAAAAUUAUCAAACAAUGAAAUGUUACUUAAAUCUGUAGUUAAAAAAUUAUAAUAGAGAACUCGUAAGCAAAAAAGUAUAUAUACUUAGUAAAGAGAAUUAAGACUAAUUAAUUGCAAAGAAAUUGUGACACAUUCAUGGGUAAAUCCAACACAUGUUUAGUGCAUGGCCCAAGUUUGUUAAAAUACUAUCAAAUAAUAAAGUUAUUAUGAACUCAAGAACUUCGGAUUACCAAAACCAACCUAAAUAAUUGGUCAUGCAUGACCUAUUUUAAAGUCUUUGCCAAUCCUGAAGUUAACUUGAAAAUUGUGUAAACAUGUUUCUUAGAAAUACACAUUUCAAACUCUCUCAAUCUUUCUUUACCAAAAACUCAAUACACCCUUUUUGUACCUCUCUUUACUCUUUGCUUAGUUUUUCCUUCUCUAUAAAAAUACUAAAUAAAGUCACAUAUUUAUGGAGUCCUAUUGGUUAACCCUAGACCAAUAGUUUCCCAAUCCUUUGUUAAGUUCAAAAGUAACUUACCAAAACAUACACACUAUAAAUAUUUACUCUCCAAAAAAUAAAUAUUAAAAUAAUUUGAGUCAAUGCACUCAACUGAAUCAUCGAUAACCAUAAUUUCUAGGGAUACAAAAUUGUUUAACAAGAUUAAUGCAUUUGUGAGGCUUAGAUGAAUCACAAAAAUUAGAGGAAAAUCUUUUGGGCAUUACCACAUAAAAGAUGUAGGACCACAUAUGCAUUUUCCUUAUAAAACAAUUGUCUUGACAAGCCACUUUAAAGCCCACUUGGGCUUGCCAUCACCAUUGAUGGACCUACAUCAUUACAUCAUUCAAAUUCUCGAUGCUCUUAAAGGUGGUAUCCACUUGAAGGUAAAAGGAUUCCAAUUUUUGUUAGAUUGUUUGUCUUUUCUAUCUGGAAACUAUUUUUCUUUUCUUUCUUUUUUAUAUCACAUUUACUCUCCUAGAAUGUAAAAUUCUCUGUUCUCUGUUCAGAUAUCAGCUUUCCAAUUGGAAUUAAUACAUCUAGUAUUCAAUUCAAUCCUCAUCCUUUUCUGGCCUCCUAAAUUCUAAACUUUGUCUAGGUUUUCCAGUUUUAAGAAAAAAUACAUCAUGAGGACCCAACAUGAUGGGAUUAGAUUCAAUGUUAAAGACAAAAUUUUCAAAUAAUCUGCAAAACCCCUCAACAUUUGUGGCUAUAGUUCACGACCAAGGUGGGAAUUAACAAUCUAAUAAUGCGGAUGAAUGCUUCAUUGACAGCUCUACCAGACUAGACUUCGACGGAAUGCAUGAUAACAAAUUUACAUGGAGAAGUGAGGACCCUUGGCUAGUUUCACCCCCAUGACCAUGGCCCAGCAGCCCAGCAGCUCAUUCAAUGUAAUCAUGGAAAACGCUUUUGACAAUGGUGGCCAUUGUGUUGAGAGUGCUCUGUCAAUUUGUUGCAUAGUUGGCCGAGAUUGGGGAUUAACAUGCAAGCAUGCAAAUGCUAAUUUGACUGCAAGUGCUACUUCCUUAGCCACUUAAUUCACAGGAGGUGGGAGCCGCUGGUCCAUCACAUCAUUCAACAGGCAAUGGUCCACAGUUGAUGGUGAUGAGGAUGAUGAGGACGCUGAUGAUAACAGGGAUAAGAUGAGUUCUUCAGGGUGCUUUCCCAUAAUUACUUCCAAUGUUACCACUCUGAAGCUAUGAACAUCGGUUUUAUUAUCCACCUUCAUCUUGUAAGCAAGUUUUGCAAAGAAGAUUAGCUCAUGCUCUUCUCUACUAAGCAAUUGUGAAAGUUACAUAUGAUGUAUAGAGGUCGUUUAGAGAUAAGCAAGGCACUAAGUAAAAUGUACCUGGAGCAGUUUAACCAAAAGUUCCUGCCAUUGAAGUCCAAUUAGACGAGUCUGACUUUAAAAACCUAGUCGUGCUGAAGUCAGAUACAUGAGCUUCAUAUUCUGAAUCUAACAACACAUUGUUGCUCGAUAUGUCUUGAUGAAUUAUGGGAGGUGAACAAUCAUGGUGCAUAUAGGAUAAAGCUUUAGCCACGCCUUUAACAACAUUUAGCCUCACCAUCCAAUCUAAUUUUUCUGCUUCUUCGUC